RNAcentral lists this long non-coding RNA (954 nucleotides) under Setaria italica (foxtail millet). RNAcentral's name for it is "long non-coding RNA (SITA_LNC001859)". Lineage: Eukaryota; Viridiplantae; Streptophyta; Magnoliopsida; Poales; Poaceae. The record is from RNAcentral.
AGGCGACAGCUGCUUGCCCUCCCCGAUCCGCAGGGGCAUCUGCUCCCCAACCGGCGCCCGAUACUUGAAUCUGCAGCUGCUUGCCCAUCCGAUGCCGCGGCCCCAUUGAGGACUACCAGAACACGGGCAGCUUCAAGGACAUCACGGUGGAGAGUGGAGACGUCCGGUUGUGUCAGGAGUGCCAUAGAUUUUAUUCCCGAUUUGCCAAGUUCUUGACAGGCUGUGAGGUACCCAGCCGAAGCACUGAAUCUCCUCUCCUCCGCAGCUCCGCUGGAACGGCGUUUUCUGGAGAAGCCUCCCGAUUCAUUGGUAAGCUGCAGCUCGCUCCUUUCAGUUCGUUCCAUAUGUGCCACAACUUGCUCCUUGCAUGCUCUACAAAUGCUCGAUGAAAUGCCGGCAAGGAAAGUCGUCCAUGCUUUCAUGAUAAUAUUUGUGGUUUUCAUUAAUAGGAUUGACAAGAACGGCUAAAAUAUUCUCAUUGAGCAGAUACAAUAUUUUAUUGUCGAAGGAGCCGAUAAGGAGCCAACCCUCCAAUUUUCACAUCUGCCGAAGUCAUGUUGCAGGCAGUCAAUUGAGUUCAAUCUAUGUUAUGGUCCUUAAAUUAUUAGUCCAGUGCUCAGUUCUGAAUUGUUAUGGUUCGUAAUAUAUUAAGAACCAAUGCAAGUAGGCUGCCACUCGAAUCAAAAUGCAGGCCUUUGCUGCAAGCCUGCCAUGAACAGAUUGCAACACUGUUGGCCACCUCCAAGUCCCUGCUGUGUGGCACCAGGCCAAUCGAUGUCUGAACUUCUAUGCCUGUACUGCAUCUGGUCCAAUGUAGAGAGUAUUACGAAUGCAAGUUUGCAGCAGUCAAACUCUCUGCUAGGAGUCUGUAGUUGCUGUGAUGGGGUAAACUUGUAUCAAAUGCAGAUGUUUGGUAGGUUACAACAAUUGGCAUGGCAUUGUCCAUGAUCGGAG